UUGGAGGAAUGUAUAGCAAUAGCUGAUUGCACCAACAAAUAGUUGAUGCAAAAUCGACUUUGUCGAAUAAAAUUCUAGGUAGAAUUAUGAUAAUGACAUUAUCUGCCUAUGUGUCUUGACCAAAUUACGUGCCAGCAGUCGCGGUAAUACGUAGAAGACUAGUGUUAUUCAUCUUUAAUAGGUUUAAAGGGUACCUAGACGGUAAAUAAAGCCUUCACGGGGACUAAUUUACUAGAGUUACUUAUGAGGGGGCAUUAAAGUACUGCUGGUGUAGAGAUGAAAUUCUGUAAUACCUUUAAUCAAUGGCACAGGUAUAGGCGAAAGCAUCCCCUUAUGUGAUAACUGACGUUGAGGGACGAAGGCUUUGUGACGCGAACAGGAUUAGAUACCCUAGUAGUCAAAGCAGAAAAUGAUGAAUGUCAUAGAUUAGACGU
RNAcentral lists this ribosomal RNA (434 nucleotides) under Carbonicola myrmecina. RNAcentral describes it as "SSU rRNA". It matches the Rfam family "Bacterial small subunit ribosomal RNA", at positions 353 to 830 of the family's 1533-position model. The record is from RNAcentral. Lineage: Eukaryota; Fungi; Ascomycota; Lecanoromycetes; Lecanorales; Carbonicolaceae.